This 1242-nucleotide ribosomal RNA is filed under the name metagenome. Its description in RNAcentral is "bacterial LSU rRNA". It matches the Rfam family "Bacterial large subunit ribosomal RNA", at positions 1564 to 2815 of the family's 2925-position model. The record is from RNAcentral.
UGAUGACGAGACGCUAAGGCGUUGAAGCAGUGUAUGUCAGACUUCCAAGAAAAGCUCGCAAUGUCAUAAAUAAAGAAUGCCUGUACCAUAACCGACACAGGUGGGUAGGUAGAGUAUACUAAGGGGCGCGAGAUAACUCUCUCUAAGGAACUCGGCAAAAUGACUCCGUAACUUCGGGAGAAGGAGUGCCUUAUUUAUAAGGUUGCAAUAACAAGAUCCAAGCAACUGUUUAUCAAAAACACAGGUCUCCGCUAAGUCGUAAGACGAUGUAUGGGGGCUGACGCCUGCCCAGUGCCAGAAGGUUAAAGAAGUUGGUUAGUGUAUGCGAAGCUGAUGACUGAAGCCCUGGUGAACGGCGGCCGUAACGAUAACGGUCCUAAGGUAGCGAAAUUCCUUGUCGGGUAAGUUCCGACCCGCACGAAAGGCGUAAUGAUUUGGAUACUGUCUCGGAGAGAGGCUCGGUGAAAUAGACUUGUCUGUGAAGAUGCGGACUACCUGCACCAGGAUAGAAAGACCCUAUGAAGCUUUACUGUAACUUGAAAUUGGAAUUGGACUUUGCUUGCGCAGUAUAGGUGGGAAGCGUUGAAGAUAUUCUUGCGGGAGUAUUGGAGCUAUCAGUGAGAUACCACUCUUGUAAUGUUAGAUUUCUAACUUUGAACCAUAAUCUGGUCAAAGAACAGUUUCAGGUGGGCAGUUUGACUGGGGCGGUCGCCUCCCAAAUGGUAACGGAGGCGUACAAAGGUUUCCUCUGAACGGAUAGAAAUCGUAUCUAGAGUGUAAAGGCAUAAGGAAGCUUGACUGUGAGACCUACAAGUCGAGCAGGGACGAAAGUCGGUCUUAGUGAUCUGACGGUACUGAGUGGAAAGGCCGUCACUCAACGGAUAAAAGUUACUCUAAGGAUAACAGGCUGAUCUCCCCCAAGAGUUCACAUCGACGGGGAGGUUUGGCACCUCGAUGUCGGCUCAUCGCAUCCUGGGGCGGUAGUACGUCCCAAGGGUUGGGCUGUUCGCCCAUGAAAGCGGUACGCGAGCUGGGUUCAGAACGUCGUGAGACAGUUCGGUCCAUAUCCGGUGUAGGCGCUAGAAUAUUGAGAGGAGCCUUCUUUAGUACGAGAGGACCGAGAAGGACACACCGCUGGUGUACCAGUUAUCGUGCCAACGGUAAACGCUGGGUAGCUAUGUGUGGAGUGGAUAACCGCUGAAAGCAUCUAAGUGGGAAGCCCACCUCAAGAUGAGUAUUCCC